CCUACGGGCGGCUGCAGUGGGGAAUUUUGGACAAUGGGGGCAACCCUGAUCCAGCCAUGCCGCGUGAGUGAAGAAGGCCUUCGGGUUGUAAAGCUCUUUCGGCCGGGAAGAAAUCGCAUAGGCUAAUACCCUGUGUGGAUGACGGUACCGGAAUAAGAAGCACCGGCUAACUACGUGCCAGCAGCCGCGGUAAUACGUAGGGUGCGAGCGUUAAUCGGAAUUACUGGGCGUAAAGCGUGCGCAGGCGGUUUAGUAAGACAGGCGUGAAAUCCCCGGGCUCAACCUGGGAACUGCGCUUGUGACUGCUAAGCUAGAGUACGGCAGAGGGGGGUGGAAUUCCACGUGUAGCAGUGAAAUGCGUAGAGAUGUGGAGGAACACCGAUGGCGAAGGCAGCCCCCUGGGCCGAUACUGACGCUCAUGCACGAAAGCGUGGGUAGCAAACAGGAUUAGAUACCCCAGUAGUC
RNAcentral lists this ribosomal RNA (465 nucleotides) under uncultured Rhodocyclaceae bacterium. RNAcentral describes it as "bacterial SSU rRNA". It matches the Rfam family "Bacterial small subunit ribosomal RNA", at positions 338 to 795 of the family's 1533-position model. Lineage: Bacteria; Pseudomonadati; Pseudomonadota; Betaproteobacteria; Rhodocyclales; Rhodocyclaceae. The record is from RNAcentral.